Non-coding RNA from Notechis scutatus (mainland tiger snake), 341 nucleotides. Lineage: Eukaryota; Metazoa; Chordata; Lepidosauria; Squamata; Elapidae. The record is from RefSeq and is a predicted model, not a curated record.
AAAUUGAACAAGUAAAGUGGAAAGAAGCCAUGGACAAGGAAAUGAAAUCCAAGGGGGAACAUGAAGUGUACACAUCUAUGACUUUGCUACAGGGUAGCAAAGCUGUUGGAUGCAAGUGGGUAUGAAGAAAGUACUGCCCAAUAAUGAGGUACAAUAUAAAGCAAGGUUAGUGGCACAAGGGUUUUCACAGAUGAAAAAUGUGCACUAUGAUGAGGUAUUCGCGCCAACUGUAAAGAGUGAAAGCAUCAGGCUGGCACUAACGUUGGCAGUGGCACAUGGCCAUAAAAUUUGGCAUUUUGACAUAACCACUGCAUUUCUCAAUGCAGAAUUAGAGGAAGAAA